RNAcentral lists this ribosomal RNA (445 nucleotides) under uncultured bacterium. Its description in RNAcentral is "partial 16S ribosomal RNA". It matches the Rfam family "Bacterial small subunit ribosomal RNA", at positions 338 to 795 of the family's 1533-position model. The record is from RNAcentral.
CCUACGGGUGGCAGCAGUCGAGAAUCUUUCACAAUGGGGGAAACCCUGAUGGUGCGACGCCGCGUGGGGGAAUGAAGGUCUUCGGAUUGUAAACCCCUGUCAUGUGGGAGCAAAUUAACAAGAUCGUACCAAAAGAGGACGCGACGGUUAACUCUGUGCCAGCACCCGCGGUAUUGGAGCGGUCUCAAGCGCUGUUCGGAAUAACUGGGGGUAAAGGGGGCGUAGGCGGUUUCGUAGUUGUGUGUGCAAGGCGCGGGCACAACCGGCGGACGGCCCAUGAUACUGUGAGGCUAGAGUAAUGGAGGGGGAAGCGGAAGUCUCGGUGUAGCAGUGAAAUGCGUAGAUAUCGGGAGGAACACUCGUGGCGAAGGCGGGUUCCUGGACAUUAACUGACGUUGAGGCACGAAGGCCAGGGGAGCGAAAGGGAUUAGAUACCCCAGUAGUC